AGCGCAGGCGGUUUGAUAAGUCUGAAGUUAAAGGCUGUGGCUCAACCAUAGUUCGCUUUGGAAACUGUCAAACUUGAGUGCAGAAGGGGAGAGUGGAAUUCCAUGUGUAGCGGUGAAAUGCGUAGAUAUAUGGAGGAACACCAGUGGCGAAGGCGGCUUACUGGUCCAUUACUGACGCUGAGGUGCAAAAGCGUGGGGAGCAAACA
RNAcentral lists this ribosomal RNA (206 nucleotides) under uncultured bacterium. Its description in RNAcentral is "partial 16S ribosomal RNA". It matches the Rfam family "Bacterial small subunit ribosomal RNA", at positions 568 to 774 of the family's 1533-position model. The record is from RNAcentral.